UUUUUUCCUUCUCUCCGGAUAGGAACGACCACUACAGUAUCAGUCUUGAUUUUUUUUUCUACCUCGGCACAAGCAAGGUGCUGUGCUCGUCCACGCCGGAAGAUGCGUGACCGGAAAGAGGCAGAGCGACUGGCGUGUGGACGAGCAGCAAGGUGGCCUCCUGCACAGAAGGGCAAGCUGGGGGGAGGCGUGGAGCACAAAGCAAGCCGCUUGGCUGCAAAGUGUUGCACGCUGCUGUCCAGCUGAAGAUGGUUGACUUCACGUUGGCUUGCUGCAGCUGGUACAGUUGCUGCUAGCUAGCUGCUGUAGCUGCUGCCGCAGUCAGAGCUGCAGCAAGCACUACCGAACGGUGAACCUGAAGCCUUCAGUGGACAGGGAAUCACGACUAUGGCAUGUCUAUAAAUUUUGGAUCUCACUAAGCCUGAUUUGAUUUGGUUUGGUUCCUUAUUUCCACAUCGACAAAUCCCUUUUUUCCCUUGCUGCCUCCUGGAUGCAUAGCUUACGGUGAGUUCUUGUCAUCCUUAUCCUUCUGUAAAUCCCUGUUCCUACUUUCGAUGCCUGCAAUUUUAUUGGAUAUGUGGUAUGCUGCAUUAUAUGUUGUUCGAUUUGCUUAUUUAUUGUUUAGUGAUUGGGUCUGAUGCUACAUGCUUCCUACGAAGUUGUAGGAUAUCUCCAUUUCUCUUUAUUGUCUUUUAGGCCCAAGUUAGCAAUUCAUUAAGUAAUGAUAAUUAUAUGUGGAUCCAAAAAGAUUAAUGGUCUUGUAAUGCUCUGAUAUGUAGGUUAUUUUUCCUUCAGCCUAAUCCUUACAUGUAGCAUUGCUUUUGAGCAAGAUUGCAGCUGACCAUUAUAUAUAUGAUUACCUUUGCUACCUCUGACCUGAUUAACAUAGAUACAGUUUCUAAUUGUAAUCCCAUUAUUAUCUGUUUCCCUGUGGGUUCACAUCGUAUUAGAAAACAAAAACUACUUGCCAUCAAUACUGUGCAUUGUGGCAUGUGUAUUAGACUAAUUUCGGUUCUAUAAUACCCCAUAAUCAAUUUUGGAUCUGCAGUUAAGCUUGUCUACAGUAAGAUUGCAGCUAGCACUAGCACCAGUGUGCCUUUAAAAUUUCUAAUUUCUAGCUGAUUGUUGUAGCAUCUUUGUUGAGCAGCAGCAUUUAGUUAGAGAUGUUGUGGAGAGACCCAAGAGACAUUGAUCUUUGGCUGCUUUAUGUACACAUGAAGGAAUGGUCAUGCUCUUAAAUUUAGCAGUAGGAAGCUCACUUUCUUUUCCAUUUUACUAGAUGUUUAUCAGAUCUGAAUCAUAUUCACUCUGUCCCAUGUAUUCCUGGUUUACACUUAUUGGUUUUGGGCAGCAUGCGACAGAGUGAAGAUUAUCCAAAAAAAAAUGAAAGAAAGAAGAAGAGGAUUAUUUUUUGAUAGUCAUAGCUCAUGCAAUCUGGCUGGAUCAUGAACAAAUUGCAAAACAUUUGUUAAGAUUAGCCAAAUCACUCUGCUCGUUGAUAAUAACAUAAAAGGAAAAGUGCUACCUAUGGGGUUUAGAUAAGUUUAACUGGACCAUGUAUUCCAUUGUGCUCAGUUAAUUAAGUUGAAUGUCAAUCAUUAUAGAUUUUGUCCACCUUCCUUGAUUUUUCUGCUUAGAAAAGAAACCAAAGCAUUGCUCGUAGUUUAUUUGUCUGUGCAGGUACCAUGCUUUAACAUCAAGGUAAAUAGUGUCGGUCUCAUAUCCUCCAUUCUAUUAUGCCACCUUUAACAUAUGCAUUUCACUGCAUGUUUGGUUUUCAAGUAUGUUUCCAUCGACUGACUCAUGUUUUAUUUGGUCCUGUUUCAUGUAUGUUGAUAUCUUUGGUUUACGUUAAGUGUGUGGUAGCUAUUCUGAACCAUUCUCUUGGUUCCCUUGCCAUAAAGAUAAUUCCUCCUCCUGUUUUUCUUCUGUAACUUAUAGAUUGAUUCAUGCUAUAUUAAUCAAGUUCACAACUUUCGUUUCUUGCAAAGAGAAGCAUCAUCAAGUUAAAAUGCACUUAUGAACACAGGAUCACAACCUGCAUUUAGUAAAAUUCAGAACCGUGUCAGCAUUAGUGCAUUGUAACAUAUGCCUUCUUUUCUCAGUUGUACGGUUUCUUUUCCUUGGAGUUAGAUAUAUAGAUAGAUGGCAUGAAUAUAGCACACAGGUAGGUUUGGUUGCAGAUGCAGUUUAGUAAUACUCGCUGACUUGCCACAGCAACUGUGCAGGUCUUCAUCAUACUGAACUUAUCAUUAGUGCUGAACUUUUAUCUAACACUAUUUGAAAUGCGUAUUGUUGGCAUUAACCUAUUUGUAUAGUUAUUACAUGCAUUAUUCUUUAGCAGGUCAGGUUGGGGCUGCAAAUCAGGCCAAACAGGCCAAUAAGGAUGUAAGCACCAUAUGCAAGAAAAGGAGUUAUGUUUCCUAAAAAAAUAGGACAUUUGUUGUAACUGAUUUUAUCAUGAUUAGGCCCCACCAUUUCUAUUGUGGUGAGAUGAAAAAAAAGCAUGAUUGAAUUUAGGUAAAAUUAUUAGGUGUUCAUUGUCAGGCCCAAGAAUGCAAAUACGGUUUCGGUUCUGUCUUUCUUUCAUGUAUGCUACUGCUCAACACCAGCUUUGGCGCUUCUGCAUAUGCCCCACUGUUAUCAAAAAAAUUAUAUUCGUGUUAUUAUUUCUCUUAAAUGUUUCAUACAACCGCAAGAACUAUAAUGUUUGGUGGUCAGGAGAUCUAACAGAAAUUUAGAACUAAACAUAUAUAGGUUAUUGCUAAAAAAGGUAGAUGCCUCGUACAAUCACAUAGCUGAAUGAACCAUACAUGGUAAAUUUCAUAUAGUUCCUACGAUAUAAUGUUAGUUUGAAAAUUAGGCUACUUUUUACUUCAAUUACCACCCUUUGACUUUUCAUAUGUUUCUUGAUCCUGAAAUGCAGGUCAGAGCAACGAGCAAACAAAAGUGUAGAAGGCUCUAGCGCAACCAAAUGGAAGGUUCUGCCAUUAUUAUCUCAGCAUUGUCUUAACGUAUAAAUGCAACUGAGCAUGUAGUUCAUGUUCAUAAAACAAUUGGAAUAUUUCUAACACCAGUGUUAAGAACAUGCAUUUUAUGAAUCUUCCGACCUAAAUUAGUAGUUAGUUUUUUUUUACUAUGUAUAGAUUCUGUAGAACUGCACCUUUACUCCAUCAGUCAUUGUGUGUACAUAUAUCUAGCAUAUCUCAAUUUAGACCUCAUGCAAACAUCCUUUACAUGGUCUAUUUUCUGCACUGAGUUGCAUUCUAUAGCCUCAUUAUUUGCGGAUGCUGAUCGUGAGCCCAAGGACUGCAGACGAACCAGGUACUUAUCAAAUAAAUAGUUCCAUUUUCCACACGCACGCAUUAAAAGUCACUUUUGACGGAAACAUUAUCAAGUUACUUGCAGUAAUCUUUCAUAAAUUUAAUCUGCUAUAUCUACAUUAUCUUCCCCGCAUCAACUAAUAAUAGCCUACAUAUAGUAAUUCCACUUCCAUUAAAUCAAUUUAUUAUUUUGACACAUAUCAGGUGGCAUCCUAUAAUACCGAUUGCGGAACACUGUGCGCAUGAGCCCGCGCCAAUCACUACUAGUAACCCUUAGAGCAAGUACAUUGCUACACGUCAGCGGUCUCAUAGGUCGUCUCAUGCAGUGCCAUGUAGAAUUUUUGAUGAUGUGGAGGAGAGAGAGCGAGGAGAGAGAAAGAGGUCGAUG
Long non-coding RNA from Setaria italica (foxtail millet), 3711 nucleotides. RefSeq lists it as uncharacterized. Lineage: Eukaryota; Viridiplantae; Streptophyta; Magnoliopsida; Poales; Poaceae. The transcript has 5 exons. The record is from RefSeq and is a predicted model, not a curated record.